This 425-nucleotide ribosomal RNA is filed under the name uncultured bacterium. Its description in RNAcentral is "partial 16S ribosomal RNA". It matches the Rfam family "Bacterial small subunit ribosomal RNA", at positions 354 to 796 of the family's 1533-position model. The record is from RNAcentral.
GUGGGGAAUAUUGGACAAUGGGCGCAAGCCUGAUCCAGCCAUGCCGCGUGAGUGAUGAAGGCCCUAGGGUUGUAAAGCUCUUUCACCGGUGAAGAUAAUGACGGUAACCGGAGAAGAAGCCCCGGCUAACUUCGUGCCAGCAGCCGCGGUAAUACGAAGGGGGCUAGCGUUGUUCGGAAUUACUGGGCGUAAAGCGCACGUAGGCGGACAUUUAAGUCAGGGGUGAAAUCCCAGAGCUAAACUCUGGAACUGCCUUUGAUACUGGGUGUCUUGAGUAUGGAAGAGGUAAGUGGAAUUCCGAGUGUAGAGGUGAAAUUCGUAGAUAUUCGGAGGAACACCAGUGGCGAAGGCGGCUUACUGGUCCAUUACUGACGCUGAGGUGCGAAAGCGUGGGGAGCAAACAGGAUUAGAAACCCCGGUAGUCC